This 430-nucleotide ribosomal RNA is filed under the name bacterium. RNAcentral's name for it is "partial 16S ribosomal RNA". It matches the Rfam family "Bacterial small subunit ribosomal RNA", at positions 355 to 776 of the family's 1533-position model. The record is from RNAcentral.
UGGGGAAUAUUGGACAAUGGGCGCAAGCCUGAUCCAGCCAUGCCGCGUGUGUGAAGAAGGCCUUUUGGUUGUAAAGCACUUUAAGCGAGGAGGAGGCUACUUGGAUUAAUACUCUAGGAUAGUGGACGUUACUCGCAGAAUAAGCACCGGCUAACUCUGUGCCAGCAGCCGCGGUAAUACAGAGGGUGCGAGCGUUAAUCGGAUUUACUGGGCGUAAAGCGUGCGUAGGCGGCUUCUUAAGUCGGAUGUGAAAUCCCUGAGCUUAACUUAGGAAUUGCAUUCGAUACUGGGAAGCUAGAGUAUGGGAGAGGAUGGUAGAAUUCCAGGUGUAGCGGUGAAAUGCGUAGAGAUCUGGAGGAAUACCGAUGGCGAAGGCAGCCAUCUGGCCUAAUACUGACGCUGAGGUACGAAAGCAUGGGGAGCAAAGAGG